UACAGAGGUGGCAAGCGUUGUUCGGAAUUACUGGGCGUAAAGGGCGCGUAGGCGGUUCGUCAAGUCCGGUCUGAAAGCCCCCGGCUCAACCGGGGAAGGUGGCUGGAAACUGGCGCACUGGAGGGCGGCAGAGGCGUGUGGAAUUCCUGGUGUAGCGGUGAAAUGCGUAGAGAUCAGGAAGAACACCGGUGGCGAAAGCGUUCUGCUAGACCUGUACUGACACUGAGGGACGAAAGCUAGGGGAGCGAAUGGG
Molecule: ribosomal RNA, 253 nt
Filed under: uncultured bacterium
Lineage: Bacteria
Description: partial 16S ribosomal RNA
Rfam family: Bacterial small subunit ribosomal RNA
Source: RNAcentral